CUACGGUUCCGACUCAUGACUGGGAUCUUUUAUUGCUGGGACCGGUCCAUCUUUCAGUAUCAAAUGAUCACUGCAUCGUAUACAGGCUGGU
Long non-coding RNA from Sinocyclocheilus grahami, 91 nucleotides. RefSeq lists it as uncharacterized. Lineage: Eukaryota; Metazoa; Chordata; Actinopteri; Cypriniformes; Cyprinidae. The transcript is spliced from 4 exons. The record is from RefSeq and is a predicted model, not a curated record.